RNAcentral lists this non-coding RNA (23 nucleotides) under Mus musculus (house mouse). The record is from RNAcentral. Lineage: Eukaryota; Metazoa; Chordata; Mammalia; Rodentia; Muridae.
UAAUAAGAUGGUGUACACAGGGC